Non-coding RNA from Pangasianodon gigas (Mekong giant catfish), 72 nucleotides. The record is from the annotation of a GenBank genome assembly. NCBI's taxonomy places the organism in Eukaryota, Metazoa, Chordata, Actinopteri, Siluriformes, Pangasiidae.
UUCCUGGAGGACUAGGGGUUAGGCCACAGCGCACUCACUGCCGUGGCCAGCGUUCGAUUCCUCGCCAGGGAA